Physella acuta is the source of this 315-nucleotide long non-coding RNA. RefSeq lists it as uncharacterized. Lineage: Eukaryota; Metazoa; Mollusca; Gastropoda; Physidae. The record is from RefSeq and is a predicted model, not a curated record.
UUAAUUCAACUGACAGUGUAGAGGAAGAAUAAACGUUUUAUUUCAACAAACAGUCCUACCAUCUGGGCAGGAUGAAACCUUAUUCUCUGAUAGCCGUUUCUGUCUUCUUAGCCUUGACAUAUCUGAUGGAAAUCGUUGCUGGGGAGUGCUAUAUCGACGGUAGAGUGUUCCAACAUUUGGAGACGACCGACAGAUUUGGAAUGUGCUGGUGUAUUGUCAGCAGAGAGGCCUGUGCUUGAGAGAAACAAUCUGUAUAUUUGAAGUGCUGAUAGAGCUUGGAAAGUGAAAAUAAUUUAAAAUAAACUUGGAAACGUG